Molecule: ribosomal RNA, 501 nt
Filed under: uncultured bacterium
Lineage: Bacteria
Description: partial 16S ribosomal RNA
Rfam family: Bacterial small subunit ribosomal RNA
Source: RNAcentral
AUUGAACGCUGGCGGCAGGCUUAACACAUGCAAGUCGAGCGGGGAAUGGUAGCUUGCUACCUGACCUAGCGGCGGACGGGUGAGUAAUGCUUAGGAAUCUGCCUAUUAGUGGGGGACAACAUUCCGAAAGGAAUGCUAAUACCGCAUACGCCCUACGGGGGAAAGCAGGGGAUCUUCGGACCUUGCGCUAAUAGAUGAGCCUAAGUCAGAUUAGCUAGUUGGUGGGGUAAAGGCCUACCAAGGCGACGACCUGUAGCGGGUCUGAGAGGAUGAUCCGCCACACUGGGACUGAGACACGGCCCAGACUCCUACGGGAGGCAGCAGUGGGGAAUAUUGGACAAUGGGCGCAAGCCUGAUCCAGCCAUGCCGCGUGUGUGAAGAAGGCCUUUUGGUUGUAAAGCACUUUAAGCGAGGAGGAGGCUACUUGGAUUAAUACUCUAGGAUAGUGGACGUUACUCGCAGAAUAAGCACCGGCUAACUCUGUGCCAGCAGCCGCGGUAA